UCAUAGAAAACUGUCCUCUUCAUACCAACAAAAACAUAGGAAUCUAAGAGUCUGCAAGAUUCUCCUGGACGCGGCUGCACCCGGCCAGGAACCCAAGUAGAGAGCGAGCUGGCAAAGGUGCGUUUUUGAGCCGGUUCCAACCCCGCCAGAUGUUAGCCUCUGGCGACUAACCCCAGCUGGUGCGGAGCGGAGAACUUUGGAAAAGGGGCAGGUUGGGGAUGCCAGGUGGUUUUUAGCCUAUCUGCAGCAACAUUCUGUUCCUUACCAAGGGUAGAUUGCAACCCAAAGAGCAGCAAGGGAGGGCCUGAGAGGCCGGCUAUUUAGUGAUAAAGACCUCUCCCCCUCGCCCAGACUCAUUCCCUUGUAGCAUGGCCAGAAGCCUGAUCUGCCCCUCUUCUGUAGUUACAACUAUUUGCACCACAAUUCCCAUCUGGAUUAACCAAACUUGCUCCAGUCAGGCCUAGGCCAAGUACAUUCAUAGGUUUUUUUCUAGGUGUCUUUCUGACUCCCCAACAGGCAGCCCACCCAGGUUUCCCCCUCCCUAGCCUCUGCAUCCUACACCUUCCCAUUCAAGCGUAUUCAAAAUCCAGGUUCCACCUGUGGCCUCUGCCGCAACGCCACUCUAGCUCUACCAAAGUCACUCCUGCCCCCAAGCUGCCACAGUUAAAAUCUGGAGCCAGGGAGUUUUAACUUUCUGCAGAAGGCUGAAAGCUGAGCUUGUUCAAUGGCCAGGGCAAAGUUUUGUCUGAAACUUAUUUCUGCACAGACUCUCCAGUCAGUUCCAAUUGUGCACAAGAUAGGUUCCCUGAUGAAGCGGCAAAGGGAACAUAUAAUUAUUUAAACUCUACUAGAAGGCUUGUUUCUACCUAGAGUGAGGAGUCUUUCCAAUUUACUUCUACCCCAGCACUGUCAUUUUAGCUAUCAUUUCAGUCUUCUCCUGUUUGAAUUCUCCUGUUUGGAUUCCGACAUUCUCAAGUAAGACUACCUGGACUUUGAAUCUCUAUACCUACUUCAUGUUUGCAUUCUAAAAGGUGUAUAAAGCCCAUUUUCUGCCACCAUUUAUGGAUAACUGUAAUUCCUGACACAGACAUCUGGAAAGAAAAACAAGUUACUACCUCUGCAAAGUUUUCCAACUGCUUUUUAAAAUAUUAAAGAAGGUUGACCUCUUCCAGUUUAAUCUAAGGCUGAUUGUCAGAGAUAGUCACAUUGAAUUAUUUUACUAAACAAAUGUAUUUUAAAGACACAACUGGUCUUUUAAAAACUCAAAUCCCAAUAAGCAUUUCCUAUGUGCCAUGAUGCUUACUCUUUCUUGUCUGAUUAUAGUUAUGUAUUUAUCACCUUAAACCCAAAGACCUCUUGAACAGCAUAUACUCUAUCACGUGUUUUGUAGAUCCUGAAAGCUACCACAGUGCUAUUUGCACAAUAUUUAGUUGCCAGAUUUUUGUUGAAUUAACUCUGGGCAGUCAGCAGAAGAAUUUGACUUUCUUUGUUUCCAAGGAUCUGCCAAGAAUUGGAAAAAGCAUGGUAGGAGAGAAUGAUACCAACACCUUUUCAACUACAAAAAUAGGGAACAAAUUAACUCUAUUCCCCUGCAGAGUUUGGGGGUUUUCCUCUUGAUACAAUUUCUAACUUCUUUCCCCAAAUACAAAUGAGUUUGAUUCAAAGAAAAAUAAGAUUAUAAAUCAGUGUCUUCUUAGAAUAAUUUGAUUUCUUCCUUUUCACUGUGAAUCAUUUUUCAUAACUUUUACAGUCGUUUGAACUCUGGUUUAACUGCUACCUAAGAACUUAGAAGAAUUGGACAGGUUGCUUAAAUUUGUAAAUGUCAGUUUCAUCAUUUCUCAGUUGAGGAAAAUGGACCAUGGGAUUGUUAUGAGGAUAAAAUGAGAUGGUGUAUGUCAAACACACGUCAGUUUAAUCAACAAAUAUUCAUUACGCACUAUAUUAGCUGGCAUCCAGGAUGGUCCUCAACAAUCCCCACCUCCUGGUUGAUCUCUGUAACUAACUUCUAGCUUUUUCUCUCUUUGCUCACUCAUUUUGAGGAACCACAUGGAGCAGCCCAACAAAGAGUUCCACCUGGAAAAGAAUUGAAAACUACUGAUAACAACUACCAAGGAACCAAGGCUUCUUGCAAGUAGCCCUGGCUGUAGGACUUGGAAACCAAUCCUUCUGCCCCAAGCAAGCUUUCAAGUGACUACAGCACCAGCUGAUAGCUUGACGGAAGAACCUUGACCCAGGACCACUCAGCUAAGCUGCUCCCCAAUCUUAAUGCUCAGAAACAGUGUAAGACAAUAAAUGUUUAUUGCUUUAAGUUGCUAAGAUUUCAAAUAAUUUACUUCACAACAACAAAUAGCUAAUAAAUGUACAUUUUAAGCCUCCAGCACUGUGCUAAAUAAAGCAAAGAACAAGGCAUCUUACCAUCAUGAAGCUUAUACUCUAAAGUUAGGAGAGUGAUAAAUGCUCAAUUAAUGGUUUGUUGUUGUUUUGUCACUAAUAUUUUCUAGCAUAAUAUUAUUCAUUUUGUUUUAAAAUAAAAGUCCAAAGUGGUAGCUGGUAAGAGUGGGUAGAAUAUGAAUUUGAGGUUUGGUCAUGUGAAUUUUAAAGUGAGAUACUGUCACUUAUCCACUAAAAUUAGGAAGGAAGGAAGGAAGGAAGGAAAGAAGGGAGGGAGAGAGGAAGGAAUGGAAGAAGGACAAUCCCAAGUGUUACUGAAAAUAUGGAGUAUCUAGAAUUCAUGCAUCAUGGGGCAAAUGUUAAGUGGUAAAAGCACUAUGUAAAAUAAUUUGAAGUUUCAUAUGAGCAUAUACCUACCCUAAAUAUCUAGCCAUUCUAUUAAGUAUUUCCACAGACAAAAAUGAAAGCAUAUGUCCAAAUAACAGUUGUUUACAAAUGUUGAUAGCAGUUUUAUUUACAUUAGCCAAAAGCUAUGGAAAAAAAUCCAAAUAGUCCUCAAUAGAUAAGUAAAUAUUAUUUAAAAUGUAACAUAUUGAAACAAUGGAAUAAAACUCUAAUAAACUAUUAAGAUGUGAAACAAUGUGGAUGAAUCUCAAGAACACCAUGAGGAACAAAAGAAGCCAGACACAAAAAAAGUACAUACUGUAUUAUUAUGGCAUUUAUAUAAAAUUCUAGAAAAUGAAAACUAAUAUAAAAUGCCAACCUAGAUCAAUGGAUACAUCAGCUGGCUUUGGGGAAGAAAUGUAAGGGCACAAUCUUUGGCAAGUGUCAUGAGGGAACUUUUUGAAUAUUAAAUAUCUUGAUAGGGUAGUAGUUACAUGGGUAUAUACACUUAUUAAAUUUAUAAAAUUUCAUAUUUAGAGUGGGAACCUUUUAUUAUAUAAAAUUAAAAAUUGAUAAAAUUAGUUUUUUAAAAAUUAGCAAAUACUAUUCAGGUAAAUACUAUACAGGUAAAUAUAUCCAAUAGGCAGUUGUAAAUUACAUCUAAGGCUAAGGGUCAUGUUGUGGUAGCUGGUUAGCAAAUAUUUGUUGAGUGUCUGUUACCUGCCAGGCACUGGGUUACUUUGCUGGGAUGACAAGAAGAAACAAGACAGCUUCUAGUCUAACUAGAAGAAAGGUAGUUAUUAAAGGGAAUUACAACAGUCAUAUGAUAGUGGGAUAUAACUUUUUCUCUAAUCUAGAAGAUCUUUAAAGCAGCUAACCUCUUUGUCCUAUAAUGCAUCAUUCAAGUGACCCUCUGAGUUAUUUAUAUAUAGACCAAAUAGCAAAUUAGAUUUUAUGCAAAAACCAGACAUUGGGAAGAGAGCUCAAUUUGCAUAAGGAUAUCAGAGCUCUCUUGGAAGGGAAGCACUCAGACCUCAAUCCAUGCUUCCCCAAAUUUGAAUUUAACGAUAUUUUCUAGAGAUUGUAUAUCCCUGCUGUAAGGAAAGGCUACAUUCAAACCAUUCAAAAAAACCUGAGGGCCUACAAAAUUCUAUGACUGUUAGUUUAGAAUUCAAUAAUCUUUAUAAUCAGAACCAAAGUCACUAUGCUACAAUCUCUCAAAUUUCCUAUUACCAUUUAAAUUGAAGUUAUAUUCUCCUUCCAUUUUUUUUAUUAAACUGCUUAGCUCAUUUAUGUUUAAUGUAAUUAUAAAAUGAUUAAAUUUAAAUCUGCUACUUUAUUGUUUCCUGUUUCUACAAACUGAUUUACAUUCCUCUGUUCCUG
RNAcentral lists this long non-coding RNA (4158 nucleotides) under Marmota monax (woodchuck). The record is from RNAcentral. Lineage: Eukaryota; Metazoa; Chordata; Mammalia; Rodentia; Sciuridae.